This 460-nucleotide ribosomal RNA is filed under the name uncultured bacterium. RNAcentral describes it as "partial 16S ribosomal RNA". It matches the Rfam family "Bacterial small subunit ribosomal RNA", at positions 338 to 795 of the family's 1533-position model. The record is from RNAcentral.
CCUACGGGAGGCAGCAGUGAGGAAUAUUGGUCAAUGGGCGAGAGCCUGAACCAGCCAAGUCGCGUGAAGGAUGACGGCCCUACGGGUUGUAAACUUCUUUUGUCAGGGAGCAAUUGAGUCCACGUGUGGGCUUAGCGAUAGUACCUGAAGAAAACGCAUCGGCUAACUCCGUGACAGCAGCCGCGGUAAUACGGAGGAUGCAAGCGUUAUUCGGAUUUAUUGGGUUUAAAGGGUGCGUAGGCGGAAGAUCAAGUCAGCGGUAAAAAUUCGGGGCUCAACCCCGUCGUGCCGUUGAUACUGAUGUUAUUGAGUGGGCGAGAAGUAUGCGGAAUGCGUGGUGUAGCGGUGAAAUGCAUAGAUAUCACGCAGAACUCCGAUUGCGAAGGCAGCAUACCGGCGCCCAACUGACGCUGAAGCACGAAAGCGUGGGUAUCGAACAGGAUUAGAUACCCUUGUAGUC